CCCCAGACUCCUACGGGAGGCAGCAGUCGGGAAUAUUGCGCAAUGGAGGAAACUCUGACGCAGUGACGCCGCGUAUAGGACGAAGGUCUUCGGAUUGUAAACUAUUGUCGUUAGGGAAGAGAAAGGACAGUACCUAAGGAGGAAGCUCCGGCCAACUACGUGCCAGCAGCCGCGGUAAUACGUAGGUGGCAAGCGUUAUCCGGAUUUACUGGGUGUAAAGGGCGUGUAGGCGGGAAAGCAAGUCAGAUGUGAAAACCAUGGGCUCAACCUGUGGCCUGCAUUUGAAACUGUUUUUCUUGAGUACUGGAGAGGCAGACGGAAUUCCUAGUGUAGCGGUGAAAUGCGUAGAUAUUAGGAGGAACACCAGUGGCGAAGGCGGUCUGCUGGACAGCAACUGACGCUGAGGCGCGAAAGCGUGGGGAGCAAACAGGAUUAGAUACCCCCGUAGUA
This 450-nucleotide ribosomal RNA is filed under the name uncultured bacterium. RNAcentral's name for it is "bacterial SSU rRNA". It matches the Rfam family "Bacterial small subunit ribosomal RNA", at positions 329 to 795 of the family's 1533-position model. The record is from RNAcentral.